CCUACGGGUGGCAGCAGUGAGGAAUAUUGGUCAAUGGCCGGAAGGCUGAACCAGCCAUGCCGCGUGAAGGUCAGUGCCCUAUGGGCGUUAAACUUCUUUUGUGCGGGAGCAAUAAUUGUCACGUGUGGCCCGACGAGAUUACCGUACGAAUAAGCAUCGGCUAACUCUGUGCCAGCAGCCGCGGUAAUACGGGGGAGGCAAGCGUUAUCCGGAUUUGUUGGGUUUAAAGGGUGCGUAGGCUGUGUGGUAAGUCAGCGGGGAAAUGCCCCGGCUCUAGGGCGUGAAGUGCCAUUGAUACUGGUUAGCUGGAAUGCGGAUGCGGUGGGAAGAAUGUGAGGUGUAGCGGUGAAAUGCAUAGAGAUGA
RNAcentral lists this ribosomal RNA (364 nucleotides) under uncultured bacterium. RNAcentral describes it as "partial 16S ribosomal RNA". It matches the Rfam family "Bacterial small subunit ribosomal RNA", at positions 338 to 699 of the family's 1533-position model. The record is from RNAcentral.